GAAAGUUAGAGACUUUCGUCUCUGGAGUGCCUUUCAGCCUCCGAAACUUGCCCCCGAAAGGGUUCGGCAGCCGAAAGUGGAAGUUCGGCCGCCGAAGGUGCUUGAGUUUCGUCUCUGGAGAGGACUUUCGGCCGCCGAACCUGCCGCCGAAAGUGUCCUGUCUAGCUUUCAUUUGCAUGCUUUGCAUGGAUAUUAGCGUGAGUUUAAGGGGAUUCUUGGGGAGUUUCAUAGAGUUGUUCAUAAGCUAGUUUGGUCCCUCAUUUGAGUCAAUCUGUAUAGGUACAGACCAGAGGAACCAGAGAGAGCAGCAGUGAGUACUGCUCCAGAGUGUUCAGAGCCUGCAGAGUUAGUCAGUCCAGAUAGCCAGAGGUGAGUGGAACUAAACUGAAUACUUUUAAUUGAGAUAUAAACUGCUUUCAGCAUAGUUCAUGCAUCAUGAGUAUACAGCAGGUUGUUUGCAUUAGCGUACACGAAUAUGUUGCAUUGCAUAGUUAUUUGAUGAUGUGAGUGAAUGCUGAAUGAUCCAAUAGUCUCAGACAGGAAGUCCAGGAGCCUUUGACUACGCCCUGGCAGUUAUAGUAAAGACCAGGAGCCUUUGACUACGCCCUGGCAAUGGUAAGUACAGAGGUGUUAUAUACACAUAUACAUAUAUGACAGGAAGACUAGGUGCUCGAUUCUACGCCCUGACACAGAGUUACUGGGACUAUGUGGUGACAGGUUUACUCUUGAUGUGAUUUGUCUGUAUUAUGACGCAUUCCAUGAGAUCAUAUUUUAAUGAGAUGUUUUCCUGUUCUACUCACUGGGCUAUAGAGCUCAUCCCACUCCCUUAACCCCAGUUUUGCAGGUUCAGUGUACAGUAUAGAAAGGAGAGCAGCAGAAUGCCAAAAGAGUAAAGAGUAAAGAGACUUGUAAUAGCUUAGAGUGGACAUGUAAUAUGAAAAAGAUGUAAUAGUUGUGUAUAC
This 962-nucleotide long non-coding RNA is filed under the name Manihot esculenta (cassava). Its description in RNAcentral is "long non-coding RNA (MESC_LNC011968)". The record is from RNAcentral. Lineage: Eukaryota; Viridiplantae; Streptophyta; Magnoliopsida; Malpighiales; Euphorbiaceae.